GGCAUACAUGACUAUACUUGAUGUUUUAUGGAAUAUGCAGUUUUAUAUUGCCAUUAUUACUUGUCAUGUUAAUGAUUAAUGUCUCAGGGUUAGAGCUUUUAGAUAAAUUAUGAUGGAGGGAUUUGUGUUUGUCUCAUCAUUGACCUUAGGCUGCUUUUGUUGGUGAAGUAUUUAUUUGGGAUAGAAUAGAUUGAUUUGUGUUAAUGGUUGUUCAAAUGGUAACUGAA
This 227-nucleotide unclassified non-coding RNA is filed under the name Hevea brasiliensis (rubber tree). The record is from RNAcentral. Lineage: Eukaryota; Viridiplantae; Streptophyta; Magnoliopsida; Malpighiales; Euphorbiaceae.